RNAcentral lists this transfer RNA (85 nucleotides) under Daphnia magna. It matches the Rfam family "tRNA". Rfam says of the family: Transfer RNA (tRNA) molecules are approximately 80 nucleotides in length. Their secondary structure includes four short double-helical elements and three loops (D, anti-codon, and T loops). Further hydrogen bonds mediate the characteristic L-shaped molecular structure. tRNAs have two regions of fundamental functional importance: the anti-codon, which is responsible for specific mRNA codon recognition, and the 3' end, to which the tRNAs corresponding amino acid is attached (by aminoacyl-tRNA synthetases). tRNAs cope with the degeneracy of the genetic code in two manners: having more than one tRNA (with a specific anti-codon) for a particular amino acid; and 'wobble' base-pairing, i.e. permitting non-standard base-pairing at the 3rd anti-codon position. The record is from Rfam by way of RNAcentral. Lineage: Eukaryota; Metazoa; Arthropoda; Branchiopoda; Diplostraca; Daphniidae.
GUCAUGAUGGCCGAGCGGUCCGAGGUGCUGCUGUUCAGGUCGUAGUCCAGUUCUCUGGGCGAGGGUUCGAAUCCCUCUUCUGACA